AAAAACUGCAGUUUUGCACUAUUUAUGUCUAAUGUUUGAUCGUCCAUCAUAUUUAAAAUUUUUUAGAUUAGUAUUUUUAUCCUUAUUAGAUGAUAAGAUAUAAAUUAUGUAUGACUAUUUUUUUAUAGAUUUUUCAAAUAACAUAGACGAUCAAACGUUGGAAACGAAAAUCCACGGUUGUACAUAAC
Non-coding RNA from Oryza punctata, 188 nucleotides. Lineage: Eukaryota; Viridiplantae; Streptophyta; Magnoliopsida; Poales; Poaceae. The record is from Rfam.